Molecule: ribosomal RNA, 417 nt
Filed under: uncultured bacterium
Lineage: Bacteria
Description: bacterial SSU rRNA
Rfam family: Bacterial small subunit ribosomal RNA
Source: RNAcentral
AACGAACGCUGGCGGCGCGCUUAACACAUGCAAGUCGAACGAGAAGGCGUAGCAAUACGCUUGUACAGUGGCGAACGGGUGAGGAAUACAUGGGUAACCUACCCUCGAGUGGGGGAUAACCCGCCGAAAGGCGGGCUAAUACCGCGUACGCUUCCGAUCUUGCGGGAUUGGAAGGAAAGCUGUCCCUUGGGGAUGGCGCUCAAGGAUGGGCUCAUGUCCUAUCAGCUUGUUGGUAGGGUAACGGCCUACCAAGGCAUCGACGGGUAGCUGGUCUGAGAGGACGAUCAGCCACACUGGCACUGCGACACGGGCCAGACUCCUACGGGAGCAGCAGUGAGGAAUAUUGCGCAAUGGGCGAAAGCCUGACGCAGCGACGCCGCGUGGGGGAUGAAGGUCUUCGGAUUGUAAACCUCUUUC